AGUGAACGCUGGCGGUAGGCCUAACACAUGCAAGUCGAACGGCAGCACAGUAAGAGCUUGCUCUUACGGUUGGCGAGUGGCGGACGGGUGAGGAAUACAUCGGAAUCUACUUUUUCGUGGGGGAUAACGUAGGGAAACUUACGCUAAUACCGCAUACGACCUACGGGUGAAAGCAGGGGAUCUUCGGACCUUGCGCGAUUGUAUGAGCCGAUGUCGGAUUAGCUAGUUGGCGGGGUAAAGGCCCACCAAGGCGACGAUCCGUAGCUGGUCUGAGAGGAUGAUCAGCCACACUGGAACUGAGACACGGUCCAGACUCCUACGGGAGGCAGCAGUGGGGAAUAUUGGACAAUGGGCGCAAGCCUGAUCCAGCCAUACCGCGUGGGUGAAGAAGGCCUUCGGGUUGUAAAGCCCUUUUGUUGGGAAAGAAAAGCAGCAGGUGAAUACCCCGCUGUUCUGACGGUACCCAAAGAAUAAGCACCGGCUAACUUCGUG
RNAcentral lists this ribosomal RNA (492 nucleotides) under uncultured bacterium. RNAcentral's name for it is "partial 16S ribosomal RNA". It matches the Rfam family "Bacterial small subunit ribosomal RNA", at positions 29 to 507 of the family's 1533-position model. The record is from RNAcentral.